Falco peregrinus (peregrine falcon) is the source of this 1636-nucleotide long non-coding RNA. RefSeq lists it as uncharacterized. The record is from RefSeq and is a predicted model, not a curated record. The transcript is spliced from 2 exons. Lineage: Eukaryota; Metazoa; Chordata; Aves; Falconiformes; Falconidae.
CCGGGUCCGUGGGACCCUGUCUCCUCUCUUGUGUGCCCCAGGCGCCCCUGCCCCUCCUCUGCGCCCCCUCCCCUUCCCUGUGCCGCUGUGAUUUUGUGUGUGUGUGUGGGGGGGGUGACCCGGGCUGGACCGAAGCUGCUUUUCCCGCUCCCCCUCCUCCGCUGGACAGGGGAGGCAAAAUAGAACAAAAAGCUCACGAGUCGCAGUAAGGAUGGGGAGAGCACUCAGCCAUUGCCUUCGCGGGCCUAACAGGCUGAACUUGGGGAAAUGAGUGCGAUUGAUUAGCAGUCAAGUUGGAGCAGGAGAAUGAGCAGUAAAAGCAAAUCUUCAAAGCACCUUUGCUCCAGCCCUCACUUCUGCUGGGCUUAACUUUACUCCCAAUUUUCAUGUCUCCUCCCGGCAGGGGAACAAGGAACAGCAGCUGCGGUCAGUUGAUCACACAUCUGUCUUCUUCUUUCUCCUCCUCAAGCCUUGCUGUCCAAACCCAUCCUGUUUUGAUUGCCUGUAGCUCUCCGUUCUGUUCUUCCGCCCUGCUUCCUCUUAGCUUGUGCCUUUAUAUCUCAUUCUACUGCUCCCUUCUCUUUUACUCUCUCCGCUUUUGUCCUGCUCCCUCUCCUUCUCCCCUUUUCUUCAUCCUGUCUCUGUCCUGCAGCCCAUUGCUGGUUUUCCAUUUACAUCUCUGUCCUGAUCUGUAUCCAUCUCUUUUUAGGUUUUUGUGCCCCCCCCCACCUGCCUCCCCCCAAUUUCUCUGGCCUGUUCCCUGGCGUUCUUUUCCUCCCUGCACCUGUACAUGCUGCUUGGGGUCCAGGGAGAUGUCUGGAGGCGGGGGGCACCUCAGGAAGGUCUGUGUCCAAACAGGCACUUACUACUGUGGAAUUCCUGACUUCCCGCAGGCAUGGGAAUCUCCCAAGCCAACACCAGAACUGUUGUUUUCUUGGUGGUUUUUAAAGGUGACACCAUGAAAGGAUGGGGUAAGAAAACCUGGUACCCUGAGCACAUCAUUUCCAGAGAAACAUGUUGCCUAUACACCUUCAUUUGGGAGGAGGACAGGGAAGAGAGGAGCUCCAAGCAGCACCCUCAAGCUUUUACAUCAGCAGCCAAACAUCUGUGAUUCUCGGCAAAGAGAAAGGAUGAUACUAUUAAAAACAUUGCUGAGUCUGGAUGAAUCCUGUCAAGCUCUUGGUUUCAUCUACAGAUACAUGAAACACUAGAGAAACAGGACUUUUAGACUGUCUACCACGUUGUGGUACCACUUCCCAACAUCAGAGAUCACCAAGCAGGCCACUGUUCAGGCUGCUGCUCACAUGCCAGUCAGAGAAUAUAAUUGCAGGAAUACUUGAUAAAGAGUUUAAAAUGUUCUCUUCCAUGGUCUCCACUAACUGGAAGUUUAUUAACAGACCCUUUGGGGGGUUGGGCGGGGGGAAGACAACUUACAUAAUCUUUCCAACAGGAAUUUGAGAUUCCAGAGAGACAAAUGCAGCCAGUUGUUUUAUUGCAAAUUUAUAGUACUUCAUCUCUCUAUUUCAAACAGAUAAAGGUGGAUAUCAAAAUGAAGUGUUUCCAACACCAUGCUCGUGACUCCAGAGGCCCAGGUAUCCUCUCAAUGCAGAGCUCAAUGAAGAAAAAAAAAAAAGAA